AGAGCGAACGCUGGCGGCGUGCCUAACACAUGCAAGUCGAACGUGAACGGGGGCAACUCCUAGUAAAGUGGCGUACAGGUGAGUAACGCGUAGGUAAUCUACCCUAGAAUCUGGAAUAACCGGCCGAAAGGCUGGCUAAUACUGGAUAGAGCGAUGGGAUCCGUAAUGGGAUCUUUCGGGAAAGGGGGGUCGCAAGAUCUCUCGUUUUAGGAUGAGCCUGCGUCUCAUUAGCUAGUUGGCGGGGUAAUGGCCCACCAAGGCUUUGAUGGGUAGCUGGUCUGAGAGGAUGAUCAGCCACACUGGAACUGAAACACGGUCCAGACUCCUACGGGAGGCAGCAGUGGGGAAUCUUGCGCAAUGGACGAAAGUCUGACGCAGCCACGCCGCGUGAGUGAAGAAGGCCUUCGGUUGUAAGCUCUGUCGAACGGACGAAAAUGAUUGGCUAAUACCUCAGUCAUCUGACGUACGUUAAAGAAGACACCGGCUAACUCCGCGCCAGACG
RNAcentral lists this ribosomal RNA (502 nucleotides) under uncultured soil bacterium. RNAcentral describes it as "bacterial SSU rRNA". It matches the Rfam family "Bacterial small subunit ribosomal RNA", at positions 26 to 514 of the family's 1533-position model. The record is from RNAcentral.